AGGAUUAACGCUGGCGGCGUGCCUAACACAUGCAAGUCGAACGAGGUAGCAAUACCUAGUGGCAGACGGGUGAGUAACACGUGGUCAACCUACCUUUGAGUGGGGGAUAACUAGCCGAAAGGUUAGCUAAUACCGCAUAACACGACGGCCGGCAUCGGCUGUCGUUGAAAGGAGCAAUCCGCUCAUUGACGGGACCGCGUCCCAUUAGCUAGUUGGUGGGGUAACGGCCUACCAAGGCACCGAUGGGUAGCUGGUUUGAGAGAGCGACCAGCCACACUGGGACUGAGAACGGCCCAGACUCCUACGGGAGGCAGCAGUGAGGAAUUUUCCGCAAUGGGCGAAAGCCUGACGGAGCGACGCCGCGUGUGGGAAGAAGGCCCUAGGGUUGUAAAGCUCUUUUGUGCGGGAAGAUAAUGACGGUACCGCAAGAAUAAGCCCGGCUAACUUCGUGCCAGCAGCCGC
This 462-nucleotide ribosomal RNA is filed under the name uncultured bacterium. RNAcentral's name for it is "SSU rRNA". It matches the Rfam family "Bacterial small subunit ribosomal RNA", at positions 26 to 518 of the family's 1533-position model. The record is from RNAcentral.